ACCCUGGAGAAAGAAUCUUACAAAGAAUACUAAAGAGCAUCCAAGUGUGAAGAAUGAAACACACAAUGCACAUGAAGUCCAGCCAUGGUGUAGCCAAGGAGACCCACUAAGACCACCAAAAGCUUGGAAAUGAGGAUGCAGGGGCAAAGGACGGCAUUAUAGGCGGUAUUACAGCAUGUUUUUAUGCUGAUGGAAAUGAUCCAGUGAAGAGAGAAAAACGGAAGAAGCAGGAGAGAGAAGAGAUAACUGCAAGACCCAGGCCUUGAAUAAGCAAUAGAGGAUGGGAUCCAGUUCACACCUAGUGGGGCUAACCUGGCAUAUAAUAACACAAAGUUCAUCCAUUUUAUUAGGAGGAAAAGCAGAGUUUGUGAGUAUAGAUUUGGGUAGGUAGGCAGAUGGUGUGGUGGAAAGGAAGCAAGUUCUCUGCUUCCAUCUUAGGGAAGUAAGGAAGAAGGUCAUCAGCUGAGAAGAAGGAAGGGGGAGGAAUUGUUGGAGGUUAGAGUAAAGGUGAAAAAGUAUGAAAUAGUCAUCUCAGAGAAUGAGGAGAGAGAAUUGACUGGGGAAAUGCGAUAAGAUUGCUUGGCUGCACUGAGGUCCCACUAGAGGUCUGCCAUCAUAAAUUUCAAGUGAGACCGGUCAGAAAUGGUUGAGUGUUUUUCACCAGCUUGCUUAACAAGGGCAAGCAAAAUAAUGGAGUUGAGAGAAUGUACAAGGAAUUGACAAUAUGUGCAAGAAGUGGUUAUGGGAAUGGGCUGUGGACUCUAAGGUGAAAUAGGAGAAUAAGGAGAGAGUAAAGGAGGUAAGAUGCAGUGAAAAGUUGGUGCAAUGGCGGGACUGGGGACCUAAAGGGGCCCAAGAUUGAUUGGCUUCAGAACACUAGAGAAAGAGAGCUGGGAUGAUAUGAGGUGGGAAUAUGGGAAGCUGGAAACUAAGGCUUGGGAAUGGAGCAGUUUUGUUAAUGCCACCUUGGCAAUAGGUAGCUGAGAUGGAGAUGAUAAAGACCACAGAAAGUGAGGAUGUCAAGGCAAUGAGAGGUCACAAUGUUGGAAGGUCUCUCUAGGUGUUUGUUGAAAUGACAAAGAGUUAAGAAAUUUGUAGUGGUGGAGAGAAAGAUAGUGUUCCUGGUGAUAAAAUCUUCAGUGAAAAGCAGUGAUGGUGUGUGUCUGAUAGAAGAUGAUUGCAAUAGGGAGAUUGUGGCAGCCACAAGAAUGCCCUUCUCAGACCUCUUACUGGCAGGAGUGUAACUGACCUGUGGCUGCACUCUGAAAUCCAUUAUCACAUUGAAGCCACACCCUCCACCAGCUGCUCUCAGCCAUGAGUGAGCACAGCAGGGACACUAGGGCAGGCGCCUCAAUGGGAGAUGCAGGAUUCCUCUGAUCUGCCCCUUUGGCCCAAGGACUCCUCAUUAGUUUUGCCAAAACUUUCUUAGACAUGCACUGAAGUCAGACUUUCCCAGUUACCCUUCCUUCUACAGAAUUAGACCUGCAUCAUGUGUGAAGGCUCUCUCUGCUUCCUCCAGCUCCCUCUCCAUUUUUCCCCCCAACAGGUAGUUUCUCUAGUAAAUCUCUUGCAUGUCUAAUCUUGUCUUAGUGUCAACUUUUCAGAUGACCUGAGCUAGCAGAGAGAGGAUAUGGGGAGUGUAUUGGUCCAUUUUGUGUUGCCAUAAAGGAAUACCUGAUACUGGAUAAUUUAUAGAGAAAAGAGAUGUAUUUGGCUCAUGGUUCUGCAGGCUGUAUAAGCAUGGUGCCAGCAUCUUGGCUUCUGGUGAGGCUUCAGGGAGAUUACAAUCAUGUCAGAAGGUGAUGGAGAGCCAGCAUAUCACAUGGUGAGGGGAAGCUAGACAGAGAGAGAAAAGGUGAGGUGCCAGGCUCUUUUAAACAAUCAGAUCUCACAUGAACUCACACAGAGAAAACUCACUCAUUAUCGUGAUGACAGCACCAAAUCAUUCAUGAAAGAUCCACCCUCAUGACUCAAACAACUCCCACUAGGUCCACCUCCAAUGUGACAUUGGAGGUCACAUUUCAGCCUCCAAACCAUAUAACAGAAUGUGGUCUGUAAGAAUUGCUUCCAGGGAUCUGGGUGCUUUAGGGAUAAAGGAGGGACAAAAUAAUCUGCAAGGAAAAUCUUCAUCCCUUCUCCAAGCCCAGGAUUCAUGGGGUUUGGGUGUGACAGGGUGGUAAGAAAAUACCACUUCUUCUAAGGGCUGAAUGGGAGGUAAUGUCUCCAGGAUUCAGACAGAAUUCAGGUAGGCAAAAAGUGAAAGGAACAGUCUGCCAAUCCCUGACCCGACCACCUAGCCUGAUGAUACCAAUGGUGCCCUGAUAAGAUUCUGUAACCCUAGCCCAGACUUAUGGCAUAUGCUACAGAAGCAGUCAGACAGCAUGAUUCCCAGACGGUCACC
RNAcentral lists this long non-coding RNA (2401 nucleotides) under Homo sapiens (human). RNAcentral's name for it is "HSALNT0407278". The record is from RNAcentral. Lineage: Eukaryota; Metazoa; Chordata; Mammalia; Primates; Hominidae.